Long non-coding RNA from Gallus gallus (chicken), 1393 nucleotides. Lineage: Eukaryota; Metazoa; Chordata; Aves; Galliformes; Phasianidae. The record is from Ensembl.
AUUAGCGCUGAUGGCUGUGAUUCACCAUGUGCCAGACACCCUGGGGAAAAGAGACGGAGGGACAAGAAAGCACCGCUAGUCAGAGUAGGAAGAAAACCUUCCUUUCCUUUCGAUUUAGAAUCUUUGUUCCCAUCAAUUCUUUGCAAUUUUAACUCAAUUCAGAAGUGGUAAAACACAGUAUUGCCCCAAAACUCAGAGUAUAUAAUCUGUUGCGGGGUGUCACUGGCAACCAGAAGAGUUCCAGCAACUGAUGGUGUCAGAGUGUGGCAAUGGUCAGGUGGCAAUGAAGAGCUGUCUAAAGCACCAGCAAUAUCUGAAGCUUCAGUGUGGCCUGAUAAAACUACAGAUUGCUGAGUUGAAUUCAUUAUCAGUAUAUGGUUCACAUAUAAUAGAGGCAGAGAAACAUAAAGUGCUCAGCGUGAAGAGCAGACUGAGUAGCGAUGACAGCAUGCCCCCUCAAUCACUCCAGGCUUCAGCAUGCUCACAGAUAUGAAACAAUGAGCAGAAGUUGGAGAACGGAAUAAAAAACGUUGAUUAAAUUUUGAUUCAGUCCUCUCUAUGCGUGCAAUUCCAAAUUUGUGCCACACUCAAACAGCCAUAAUGUUAGAGAUUACUGACCAGUUGGAGCCUUCGGGAUUGGGUUCGUGGUACUCAUAUCAUCAAAGACCUGUGUGAAGAGGGCACACAAUGCAAAAAUAUCUUAAUGAUCCAGAGACAGUCACAAAAGUCAGACUUGCCCAAGGGCGUCUGAAACAUCACUGCACAGGAAACUGAUGUGGCUGCAUAGAGGAUUUGGAUGGAAAGUAGAUGGAUGUCCCGUCUCCUGUCUCCAGCUUUUUCAGUGUUCUUGUUGUCUGGUUUUUCUUUGCAUCUCAGAAACCUAGGCAGGGUUUUGCUCUUGCUCAGACAACAAAUCCACUGAACAGCCCCACCACGGGGAUUUUUCUGGCUGUACUAUUUCAUGAACCCAGUGCACAUCCCUGGAGCUGCUUGAGGAAUGCUGUAGAGGGUGGCACUUUGUUGGAUAGUGCAGGUAAUGAAAAGAAGGGCAUGGCUUGGGGAACCAGUUAGGCAUCUUGCUGUCACCUCCACUGAAAAUAAAUAUAUUUUUCAAUAUCUGUGCCCUCUUUCUCAUUCUUUUAUUUUUCAAAUGCAGUAAUUCUCCAGAAAUUGGAAGCAGAAACUGUGCUGAGGUUUCUGAUGUGCGUAGCUUGGCUCUGUCCAUCUCGUGCUACUUUGAAAUGAGCAGCCACUUUCAGUUAUGGAUAACAUCCUAGUGGUCUGCUGUGUUAUUCAGAUCAACACAAAGUUUUAAAGUUUUAAAUUCAGCUUUGGAUCAGGUUCAAAGCAUGUAUUUUCCCUUACAGAUCUGUAUGGCCUUACAUGCUGGAAC